CCCUACGGGGGGCAGCAGUGAGGAAUAUUGGUCAAUGGGCGCAAGCCUGAACCAGCCAAGUCGCGUGAGGGAUGACGGUCCUAUGGAUUGUAAACCUCUUUUGUCGGGGAGCAAGGCCCGCCACGUGUGGCGGGAAGGAGAGUACCCGAAGAAAAAGCAUCGGCUAACUCCGUGCCAGCAGCCGCGGUAAUACGGAGGAUGCGAGCGUUAUCCGGAUUUAUUGGGUUUAAAGGGUGCGCAGGCGGAAGAUCAAGUCAGCGGUAAAAUUGAGAGGCUCAACAUCUUCGAGCCGUUUAAACUGGUUU
Molecule: ribosomal RNA, 305 nt
Filed under: uncultured bacterium
Lineage: Bacteria
Description: bacterial SSU rRNA
Rfam family: Bacterial small subunit ribosomal RNA
Source: RNAcentral